UGGGGAAUAUUGGGCAAUGGACGCAAGUCUGACCCAGCAACGCCGCGUGAAGGAAGAAGGCUUUCGGGUUGUAAACUUCUUUUAAGGGGAAGAGAAGAAGACGGUACCCCUUGAAUAAGCCACGGCUAACUACGUGCCAGCAGCCGCGGUAAUACGUAGGUGGCAAGCGUUGUCCGGAUUUACUGGGUGUAAAGGGCGUGUAGCCGGGCCGACAAGUCAGAUGUGAAAUCCGCGGGCUUAACCCGCGAACUGCAUUUGAAACUGUUGGUCUUGAGUAUCGGAGAGGUCAUCGGAAUUCCUAGUGUAGCGGUGAAAUGCGUAGAUAUUAGGAAGAACACCAGUGGCGAAGGCGGGUACUGGACG
RNAcentral lists this ribosomal RNA (363 nucleotides) under uncultured Oscillibacter sp. Its description in RNAcentral is "bacterial SSU rRNA". It matches the Rfam family "Bacterial small subunit ribosomal RNA", at positions 355 to 735 of the family's 1533-position model. Lineage: Bacteria; Bacillati; Bacillota; Clostridia; Eubacteriales; Oscillospiraceae. The record is from RNAcentral.